AAGGGAGAAAAAUAAUCUCUCUUGGUGCUUCUGCCUGCAAGGUAGAGCAUGUUUUUAGAAUUUAGGAUAAGGGAAGACAUUCUGGAUUGAUUCCAGUUAUUUGAGUUAUGGAGGGAAUAUCCUUCCCCAAAAUAGCUUUCAUGGUUGCUACUUGCCAGAAGAUGUAAAUUAAGAGCAGAUAGGUUUUCAUUCAAUUUCUUGUGUUCUUAGGUCUCUAAUUUCAUAUUCCUGCCAUAGCUUCUUCAUCUUAUUCUCCACCUCCCUCUCUUCCUUCAACAGCACUAUAAAAAGAAGCAUUUUCUUCCUUCUGUGCUCAGAAUCUUGAUUUAGAAGCUUGAAUAUGACAAAUGGAAAAUAAUGUUUACAAAUUUAAUUGAGUGAAGAAAUAUUUGGAAAGGGUUUGCAGUUUGUGUGCUUAUGUUUGUUUUGGUGUGUCUGUGUGUGAUUCUUAGGGAAGACAGAUAAGUGUAUGGAAAAGAAAAAAAAAUAGCUUUCUGUAGCUUUCUGUUUACUAAGAAAAAAUGGUUUUAACCCCAUCAGAAUAUUCACAACAAACAGCAUUCAUGAAAAAGAAAAAGGAAAACACUCAACCUACAAAAACUUUUUUUUUUUUUUUUUUUUUUUUUUUUUUUUCUGGAAAUUAAAGUGGUUUUGUUUCUUAUUCCCUGCUAUAGAAAAUAAUAAAAAUUCAGCUCAUCACUUUGAUGUCUACUUGAUCUCACGUGCCAGGAGGCCUUCCUCUUCAUUGCUUGCAUCCUGGCAAUCAGGGAGCUUCUUGGGAUUGCAAGUGUAAAGCUUUCUUGUGCACAGUCAGAAAAAUAGUCUGCCCAGAACAGAAAAGCAGAAACCCAAAAGAAUGAAGUACCAAAGCAAGACAAGUAAGGCCUUCUGUUCCCGUGAGCUGGACAGGAAGAAGUCUUCUGUACUGCUAAUGUCAUGUAAGUGUAACUGCAUAGGCUGAAACCUGGUUCCUCAGCAAAUCUUUCCUCUCACAGUGGUAAUCCAGCCUACUUUAAAACCUUAUUAAGUGUCAAUUUUUAUGUUUUAUUUGUUUUCCUUCUAAAUAGGACAGGCAGAAAUCUUUCUCCAAUGACAACACGGAUAAUACAACAUGAUGGUGCCACAAACAGAAGUGUAUGUUUGCAGGUUGGAGACCUGAGAGGGUGUAGUUUCCACAUUUAGUCACAGGGCCUGACAAGAAUUAUAUGAAGCACACUAGCAAAGCCAGCCAAGGUCUUUAUUGAACAUUUUAUUUCAAUAUCCUCAUUUUGACAAGGCACAGGGGAGAAUCCUUAUUUUGAAAACCUGGCAUGAGAUUUGGCUUACAAUACAAGACACAUACCCAACCUUUAAACUCAUCUAAGCACUGGAGACUGACAAGAGAAUGGAAUCUAAAUACACUGCUCAGCUGGAAACCUAGAACUUCUAAUAAAGAAAAAUAAAGUGUUUAUGUAUUACA
Molecule: long non-coding RNA, 1459 nt
Filed under: Anas platyrhynchos platyrhynchos (common mallard)
Lineage: Eukaryota; Metazoa; Chordata; Aves; Anseriformes; Anatidae
Description: lncRNA (ENSAPLG00000027272.1)
Source: RNAcentral